UACGGAGGGUGCGAGCGUUGUCCGGAAUCACUGGGCGUAAAGGGCGCGUAGGUGGCGUCGCAAGUCAACGGUGAAAGCUCGACGCUCAACGUCGAGUCGGCCGUCGGGACUGCGAGGCUUGAGCACUGUAGAGGCAGAUGGAAUUCCGGGUGUAGCGGUGGAAUGCGUAGAGAUCCGGAAGAACACCGGUGGCGAAGGCGGUCUGCUGGGCAGUUGCUGACACUGAGGCGCGACAGCGUGGGGAGCAAACAGGG
This 254-nucleotide ribosomal RNA is filed under the name uncultured bacterium. RNAcentral's name for it is "partial 16S ribosomal RNA". It matches the Rfam family "Bacterial small subunit ribosomal RNA", at positions 524 to 777 of the family's 1533-position model. The record is from RNAcentral.